AUUGAACGCUGGCGGCAUGCCUUACACAUGCAAGUCGAACGGCAGCACGGGUGCUUGCACCUGGUGGCGAGUGGCGAACGGGUGAGUAAUACAUCGGAACGUACCUUAUCGUGGGGGAUAACGCAGCGAAAGUUGCGCUAAUACCGCAUACGCCCUGAGGGGGAAAGCGGGGGACCGUAAGGCCUCGCGCGAUUAGAGCGGCCGAUGUCUGAUUAGCUUGUUGGUGAGGUAAAAGCUCACCAAGGCGAUGAUCAGUAGCUGGUCUGAGAGGACGAUCAGCCCCACUGGGACUGAGACACGGCCCAGACUCCUACGGGAGGCAGCAGUGGGGAAUUUUGGACAAUGGGGGCAACCCUGAUCCAGCAAUGCCGCGUGAGUGAAGAAGGCCUUCGGGUUGUAAAGCUCUUUUGUCAGGGAGGAAACAGCAGCUCUAACACAGUCUGCGAAUGACGGUACCUGAAGAAUAAGCACCGGCUAACUACGUGCCAGCCGCCGCAGUAA
Molecule: ribosomal RNA, 501 nt
Filed under: uncultured bacterium
Lineage: Bacteria
Description: partial 16S ribosomal RNA
Rfam family: Bacterial small subunit ribosomal RNA
Source: RNAcentral